This 696-nucleotide ribosomal RNA is filed under the name Salmonella enterica subsp. enterica serovar Enteritidis. RNAcentral's name for it is "bacterial SSU rRNA". It matches the Rfam family "Bacterial small subunit ribosomal RNA", at positions 847 to 1533 of the family's 1533-position model. The record is from RNAcentral. Lineage: Bacteria; Pseudomonadati; Pseudomonadota; Gammaproteobacteria; Enterobacterales; Enterobacteriaceae.
CGGAGCUAACGCGUUAAGUAGACCGCCUGGGGAGUACGGCCGCAAGGUUAAAACUCAAAUGAAUUGACGGGGGCCCGCACAAGCGGUGGAGCAUGUGGUUUAAUUCGAUGCAACGCGAAGAACCUUACCUGGUCUUGACAUCCACAGAAGAAUCCAGAGAUGGAUUUGUGCCUUCGGGAACUGUGAGACAGGUGCUGCAUGGCUGUCGUCAGCUCGUGUUGUGAAAUGUUGGGUUAAGUCCCGCAACGAGCGCAACCCUUAUCCUUUGUUGCCAGCGGUUAGGCCGGGAACUCAAAGGAGACUGCCAGUGAUAAACUGGAGGAAGGUGGGGAUGACGUCAAGUCAUCAUGGCCCUUACGACCAGGGCUACACACGUGCUACAAUGGCGCAUACAAAGAGAAGCGACCUCGCGAGAGCAAGCGGACCUCAUAAAGUGCGUCGUAGUCCGGAUUGGAGUCUGCAACUCGACUCCAUGAAGUCGGAAUCGCUAGUAAUCGUGGAUCAGAAUGCCACGGUGAAUACGUUCCCGGGCCUUGUACACACCGCCCGUCACACCAUGGGAGUGGGUUGCAAAAGAAGUAGGUAGCUUAACCUUCGGGAGGGCGCUUACCACUUUGUGAUUCAUGACUGGGGUGAAGUCGUAACAAGGUAACCGUAGGGGAACCUGCGGUUGGAUCACCUCCUUACCUUAAAGAA